RNAcentral lists this ribosomal RNA (1599 nucleotides) under Triticum aestivum (bread wheat). RNAcentral's name for it is "partial small subunit ribosomal RNA". Lineage: Eukaryota; Viridiplantae; Streptophyta; Magnoliopsida; Poales; Poaceae. The record is from RNAcentral.
CAGGAACGAGACUAUCUGUAACUCUGUCCAGCGCUACGCCUCAUGCAUAGCGGAAGUAGUCAAGGACCUAUACUGCUCAAGUUCACGGGAGGACCAGACAUCAAUCUUUUUCGGCGUUUCUUCUGGCCCUAUACCGAAACGCAAGUACAUAUCGUCAAGGAGUUAUGCCAGCAACCCGUGGUUCUCCGGGAAAGCUGUUGUGCCUCCGAAAACACAAACAGGGGAAUUGCUUUUAGCAUAUUUGCCAUCACUUCCUGAGAACCAGCUAGCACGAUCAGUUUUUUUCCUAACCACUCCGACUCAACAUUUUGUUCAUUCUCCUUUUUGCCCAAACCCUGCUCCAUGUACUAACACCCUGUGAGUUCUUUUAUCAGGAAUUGGAUAUUGCAUGCCACCCCUCGUCUAGUCAAAGUCACUGGCAUGAGAUCAUCCACCAGCUUGUUCGCAAUGGCAUGCUCGACCACGAGUUGGGUUCUAUACUUAUCCGUCGGCAAUCCCAGCUCGACGCGGAUGCAAGCCUAGGCACACCUCACCUCACACAUCGCCACCUACUGGAAUGCGACUUCUCGACGCUGGCUCUUGCUCACAAUGGAACUAUAUCAAGUUUCAUAGAUCCAAAAUCAGUUCAUCGGUCCCAACAUCACACAUGCAAUCGAGGCAUGCCAACUGUUCUACAUCCCUGCAAUACUCCAGGAGGGAUGGGCUCUGUACAUUUGGGACAUGUUGUCAAGGAUCAUUCACAUUAUCGACCCGGCUACUGGCCCAAGGGGAUGCAAUGCAGACCAGAAGGAUCGUCAUGAGCUCAUAGCGUCGCGGCUCCACGACGCCUUGUUUCUCCGCCUAAACGAUUAUUUUGCUGGUUGGCCCACACCUAAGGAAAACUGGACUACAAAAUACCCGCUACUAAUGCAAAAUCCAGUUACCAGGGAAGAAAGUGGGUUAUGCGUCAUGCAUAUCAUCAGGUACCACGACGGGGAAAAAGCCCGGAAUGCGCUUACCAAGAAUACCUUGGCAGUCACCAGACUGUGUGCCAUCCAGGAGAUGAUGAAGCUUCAAGGGAACCAAUCAUCACUCCCAGCUGAUGCACUAUGGCAGAAGGCGAUAUCAUCAUCCAGAAGAGCAACCUCAUCGUCACUCUCGCCAUAUGGGACAAGUGUUGGAAUGCUGCCAUCCAACUUAGGAGACAAACCACUUCCAGCCAAACCAUCUGGUGGGUUCCCAACGGGCCCGGAAGGACCCCCACUCCCAGCUAUAUUCUGGAAACUUCCACCAUCUGCAUCACCCGCACUGGAUAUGGAUGCAGCAUUGGUACCAAGUUUUGUUCCAGGGCCACAUAUCAAAGCUAACCACAGACGAAGUUCGUCCUCCAACGGAUCUAGCACUUGAAGAGCCGACCAUCAAGUCCAUACCCAACUGCUGCUCCCCACAUUUGCAUUUUCAUAGUCAUUAAUCUGGUAAUUGGCUAACUAGUUCAGAAUUCCACCACCUUCCUGUUUUUUUUGCCAUUUCCGAAUAUAUUUUUUUGUAUACUGGAUCACAUACAUGAAAUCGGUCGGAUCAUUGGAGCCGUGCUCACAGCACCGGGAUACAACUUUCUCC